RNAcentral lists this ribosomal RNA (252 nucleotides) under uncultured prokaryote. Its description in RNAcentral is "partial 16S ribosomal RNA". It matches the Rfam family "Bacterial small subunit ribosomal RNA", at positions 524 to 775 of the family's 1533-position model. The record is from RNAcentral.
UACGUAGGGUGCAAGCGUUGUCCGGAAUUACUGGGCGUAAAGAGUUCGUAGGCGGUUUGUCGCGUCGUUUGUGAAAACCAGCAGCUCAACUGCUGGCUUGCAGGCGAUACGGGCAGACUUGAGUACUGCAGGGGAGACUGGAAUUCCUGGUGUAGCGGUGAAAUGCGCAGAUAUCAGGAGGAACACCGGUGGCGAAGGCGGGUCUCUGGGCAGUAACUGACGCUGAGGAACGAAAGCGUGGGUAGCGAACAG